Long non-coding RNA from Sapajus apella (tufted capuchin), 160 nucleotides. RefSeq lists it as uncharacterized. The record is from RefSeq and is a predicted model, not a curated record. The transcript has 3 exons. Lineage: Eukaryota; Metazoa; Chordata; Mammalia; Primates; Cebidae.
AAAAAUAAUGUAUCCUGGGAGGGUGUGGUGGUUCAGACCUGCAGUCCUAGCACUUUGGGAGGCCAAGGCGGGUGGAUCACCUGUGGUCAGGAGUUUGAGACCAGCCUGGCUAACAUGGUGAAACCCCAUCUCUGCUAAAAAUACAAAAAUGAACUGGGUG